Molecule: long non-coding RNA, 240 nt
Filed under: Gossypium barbadense (sea-island cotton)
Lineage: Eukaryota; Viridiplantae; Streptophyta; Magnoliopsida; Malvales; Malvaceae
Description: long non-coding RNA (GBAR_LNC011645)
Source: RNAcentral
AUUGAAUUGUAUGUAUGUGAUUGUGUUAUUUCCAUGUAUAUGAAAGUAAUAACAUAUCCAACGAUGACUGACAAGCAUUAAAUCCCGUUUGAAUAAGUGAAAUUUGAUGGAUACAGGGUUCCCGAAUUGGUUAUGGUCCUGCAUAUGUUGCAGACACACCACAGCUCAAAAAAUCGUCUCGUUAUUAGCCUUCUCAAGCUUCCCGUUAUAUGGUUCUUGUGAACUUCCGGUUAAUAUCUC